This 253-nucleotide ribosomal RNA is filed under the name uncultured bacterium. RNAcentral's name for it is "partial 16S ribosomal RNA". It matches the Rfam family "Bacterial small subunit ribosomal RNA", at positions 524 to 776 of the family's 1533-position model. The record is from RNAcentral.
GACGAGUCUCACGAACGUUAUUCGGAAUUACUGGGCUUAAAGGGUGCGUAGGCGGUGGAGUAAGUCGGAUGUGAAAUACCAUAGCUUAACUAUGGAACUGCACUCGAUACUACUUUGCUAGAGUAAGACAGAGGUGAGUGGAACUGAGGGUGGAGCGGUGAAAUGCGUUGAUAUCCUCAGGAACACCGGUGGCGAAGGCGGGUUGCUGGGCCGACACUGACGCUGAUGCGCGAAAGCCAGGGGAGCGAACGGG